CCAACUUGAGAUGGAUCCUCCUCCUCCAAUUCUAUAACGGGCUGAUUUCAAGCAUCAGCUGAUAGUGUGUGUGUGUGUGUGUGUGUGUCAUUUACUGAAGGUCUUCAUCACAUCCUUCUCCCUAGUCAUCAAGUCUUUGCAUAAGAUCCUAAUAUUCCUAAGUUUCUUGAUAUAAGGUUUCUCAAGUAUUCCAAGUGUGAUGACAUUGAAGGAAUUAUCCGGAGGUAGGAUGCAUAAUUUGAGGGUUAAGGUCUCGUGGAGACAUUUUUGGUGAGAUUUCCUGUCCACUAACUGCAAGACCUUGUGGCCAAAGUAGGCUUAGGUGGUUUGGUAACCAAUGUAGUAGUUUCAGAUUCUGAGUGCAAGCGUUCGAAAGGAAGCUUUGUCCCGAUCACAUUAUCACCAGUACUGCUGCACUUUGGUCUGUUAUCAAGGGUUACUUGUUUGUUUCUAUGUAAAUAUUCAUAUAGAGAAAUUGGUAACUCAACCUAAUCCAGAAUAGCAAAACAGAAAGAAGAACUUACAAGUAAAUAUAUUUUUCUAAAAUCUUCAUAACAUGCUUAAGUUUCUCAUAAUGCAAUUUCCAUAACAUGCAUGUUACCAUUUGCCAAUCAUAACUCAGAUAGGGUUAAUAACUUACAUGAAGGUGAACCUUUUCUUUUGACUGAGAUCCAACAGAACUUCAGACUACAGUGGGUACACACACUUCUUCCUGCGAAGACUGACCUUCGCAGUCUUACUGACCUUCUCCAUUGGCACUGCUGCUGGAUCCCCUCCUACUGACAGUGGUGUUCUUCAAUAUCUGCAAGAAAACAAACCAUAUUUAGAGCUUGUUCAGGAAAGAAAGCUGACACCCAGGCAAAAUCAACCUACAACUACGUUGUCAGCCAUAAGACAGAAAGCAUCAAGAAGUGUGACAAUAUAUACAUAUAAAUUAGAGAGAGAGAGAGAGAGAGAGCAGUCGGAUUCAAUCAAGUUAGAGCACAUGAUGCUACUGGUAACAAAUAAAUUACUCCAGAACGGAUGCUUUGGGCAGAAUGUGCAUGCCAAACACAGCUAACAAAGACCAUAAUGCAACAAAAGCAGUGCAAGUUUCCAUCAAAGAAACAGACACUACUGUGCAAGUCACAUGAUAUGAUACAGAACUAGAUGACAAGGAAGCAUCCCACCAAAGUUUGAGGCAUUUCUUUAAUGAAAGAUCUAAUUUCCUUGACUAGAAGAAAGAAAACAGCUCGAUUACUUAGAGAUCCAACUCUCCACCACCCACCCAGAGUAGUACCCCUUCAAAGCCUCAGCAAGACGAGGAUGGCAGCGAUCGCUGCAGAGUUUUUCUGAGAAGCAAAUGACUCCAGUAAUAUGCGAUGCCACCAUGUUGGAAAACGGAUAAAGAAGAAAAUGAUGUCACGGCUUACUGUGGUCGACAAAGGGACACGUCUGGGGGCAGGACUAAGACCAGAACCUAGAACGGCAGCUGCAGUUAAUUACCCAAAAUACCCCUCAUUAGAUGGUACUCUCGUAUCAGCCUAUCCUGAGACUCUGAUAUUUCUUUUUAAAGUGGAUAAUUUAUACAGAUGUAAUAGGAUAUAUUCGAUAGAGUUAGAAAAUGAUCUCUCUCUCUCUCUNN
Molecule: long non-coding RNA, 1624 nt
Filed under: Phoenix dactylifera (date palm)
Lineage: Eukaryota; Viridiplantae; Streptophyta; Magnoliopsida; Arecales; Arecaceae
Description: long non-coding RNA (PDAC_LNC002129)
Source: RNAcentral